RNAcentral lists this non-coding RNA (91 nucleotides) under Garciella nitratireducens. RNAcentral describes it as "SAM-I sequence". It matches the Rfam family "SAM riboswitch aptamer (S box leader)". Rfam says of the family: The SAM riboswitch is found upstream of a number of genes which code for proteins involved in methionine or cysteine biosynthesis in Gram-positive bacteria. The SAM riboswitch acts at the level of transcription termination control. RNAcentral also lists the same sequence under 1 other name. Lineage: Bacteria; Bacillati; Bacillota; Clostridia; Eubacteriales; Eubacteriaceae. The record is from RNAcentral.
AUCUUAUCUAGAAUUAGGGGAGAGAGUUGGCUCAAUGAUCCUAUACCAACCUACUGAAAAAGUAAGGUGGUCCAGCUAACAGCGAUAAGAA